This 328-nucleotide long non-coding RNA is filed under the name Phoenix dactylifera (date palm). RNAcentral's name for it is "long non-coding RNA (PDAC_LNC006862)". The record is from RNAcentral. Lineage: Eukaryota; Viridiplantae; Streptophyta; Magnoliopsida; Arecales; Arecaceae.
AAGUUUUCAGACUUUUUACUUCUGGCUUUGGACUAACCAAGUUCAUGUCCCAGUCCAAGACUGCACAAAUCCCACGCAUAAGCUCGUGGCAGCUAUCCCACGCGUAAGCCCAUGGAGGCUAUCCUACGCAUAAGCUCGUAGAGGCUAUCCCACGCGUAAGCCCGUGGAGGCUAUCCCACGCGUAAGCCCGUGGAGGCUAUCCUACGCAUAAGCUCGUAGAGGCUAUCCCACGCGUAAGCCCGUGGAGGCUAUCCCACGCAUCAGCUCGUGGCAGCUAUCCUACGCAUAAGCUCGUAGAGGCUAUCUCAUGACGAGGUUAGUCCAACCC